RNAcentral lists this ribosomal RNA (406 nucleotides) under uncultured bacterium. RNAcentral's name for it is "partial 16S ribosomal RNA". It matches the Rfam family "Bacterial small subunit ribosomal RNA", at positions 30 to 526 of the family's 1533-position model. The record is from RNAcentral.
AUUGAACGCUGUCGGCAGGCCUAACACAUGCAAGUCGAACGAGUGGCGGACGGGUGAGUAAUGUCUGGGAAACUGCCUGAUGGAGGGGGAUAACUACUGGCAACGGUAGCUAAUACCGCAUACCAUCGGAUGUGCCCAGAUGGGAUUAGCUAUUAGGUGGGGUAAAGGCUCACCUAGGCGACGAUCCCUAGCUGGUCUGAGAGGAUGACAAGCCACACUGGAACUGAGACAAGGUCCAGACUCCUACGGGAGGCAGCUGUGGGGAAUAUGGAACAAUGGGCGCAAGCCUGAUGCAGCCAGUACGCGUGUAAGAAGAAGGCAUUCGGGUUGUAAAGUACGUUCAGCGGGGAGGCGUUACCCGCAGAAGAAGCACCGGCUAACUCCGGGCUAGCAGCCGCGGUAAUAA